RNAcentral lists this ribosomal RNA (254 nucleotides) under uncultured bacterium. Its description in RNAcentral is "partial 16S ribosomal RNA". It matches the Rfam family "Bacterial small subunit ribosomal RNA", at positions 524 to 776 of the family's 1533-position model. The record is from RNAcentral.
UACAGAGGGUGCGAGCGUUAAUCGGAAUUACUGGGCGUAAAGAGCUCGUAGGCGGCUUGGCAAGUCGGGUGUGAAAACUCCAGGCUCAACCUGGAGACGCCACCCGAUACUGCCAUGGCUAGAGUCCGGUAGGGGACCACGGAAUUCCUGGUGUAGCGGUGAAAUGCGCAGAUAUCAGGAGGAACACCGGUGGCGAAGGCGGUGGUCUGGGCCGGAACUGACGCUGAGGAGCGAAAGCGUGGGGAGCGAACAGG